AGCGAACGCUGGCGGCAUGCCUAACACAUGCAAGUCGCACGGGGGGGCUUCGGCCUCCCAGUGGCGGACGGGUGAGGGACGCGUAGGGACCUGUCGAGGGGUGGGGGAUAACCGCGGGAAACUGCGGCUAAUACCGCAUGACGCCGCGGCGUGACAGCCGGGGCCAAAGGCGAAAGCCGCCCGCCGAGGGGCCUGCGUCCGAUUAGCUGGUUGGCGGGGUAGCGGCCCACCAAGGCGUCGAUCGGUAGCUGGUCUGAGAGGGUGAUCAGCCACACCGGGACUGAGACACGGCCCGGACUCCUACGGGAGGCAGCAGUGGGGAAUAUUGGACAAUGGGCGCAAGCCUGAUCCAGCAAUGCCGCGUGGGUGAAGAAGGUCUUCGGAUUGUAAAGCCCUUUCGGCGGGGACGAUGGUGACGGUACCCGCAGAAGAAGCCCCGGCUAACUUCGUG
Molecule: ribosomal RNA, 451 nt
Filed under: uncultured bacterium
Lineage: Bacteria
Description: partial 16S ribosomal RNA
Rfam family: Bacterial small subunit ribosomal RNA
Source: RNAcentral